This 229-nucleotide ribosomal RNA is filed under the name uncultured bacterium. Its description in RNAcentral is "partial 16S ribosomal RNA". It matches the Rfam family "Bacterial small subunit ribosomal RNA", at positions 15 to 228 of the family's 1533-position model. The record is from RNAcentral.
GAUCAUACUCAGGACGAACGCUGGCGGCGUGCUUAACACAUGCAAGUCGAACGAGAAUCUGUGGAAAGAGGAUUCGUCCAAUUGAAGCAGAGGACAGUGGCGGACGGGUGAGUAACGCGUGAGGAACCUGCCUUUCAGAGGGGGACAACAGUUGGAAACGACUGCUAAUACCGCAUAACACAUUGAGGUCGCAUGGCCUUAAUGUCAAAGAUUUAUCGCUGAAAGAUGG